This 484-nucleotide ribosomal RNA is filed under the name uncultured bacterium. RNAcentral describes it as "partial 16S ribosomal RNA". It matches the Rfam family "Bacterial small subunit ribosomal RNA", at positions 30 to 507 of the family's 1533-position model. The record is from RNAcentral.
AGUGAACGCUGGCGGCAGGCCUAACACAUGCAAGUCGAGCGGCAGCGGGUCCUUCGGGAUGCCGGCGAGCGGCGGACGGGUGAGGAAUACAUCGGAAUCCGCCCUGUCGUGGGGGAUAACCUAGGGAAACUUAGGCUAAUACCGCAUACGACCUACGGGUGAAAGCGGGGGAUCGCAAGACCUCGCGCGACAGGAUGAGCCGAUGUCCGAUUAGCUAGUUGGCGGGGUAAAGGCCCACCAAGGCGACGAUCGGUAGCUGGUCUGAGAGGAUGAUCAGCCACACUGGGACUGAGACACGGCCCAGACUCCUACGGGAGGCAGCAGUGGGGAAUAUUGGACAAUGGGCGCAAGCCUGAUCCAGCCAUGCCGCGUGGGUGAAGAAGGCCUUCGGGUUGUAAAGCCCUUUUGUCCGGGAAGAAAUCGUCUGGGCUAAUACCCCGGGCGGAUGACGGUACCGGAAGAAUAAGCACCGGCUAACUUCGUG